RNAcentral lists this ribosomal RNA (397 nucleotides) under uncultured bacterium. RNAcentral's name for it is "partial 16S ribosomal RNA". It matches the Rfam family "Bacterial small subunit ribosomal RNA", at positions 523 to 918 of the family's 1533-position model. The record is from RNAcentral.
AUACGUAGGUGACAAGCGUUAUCCGGAUUUACUGGGCGUAAAGGGCGUGUAGGCGGUCUUGCAAGUCAGAAGUGAAAUUCCUGAGCUCAACUCGGGCGCUGCUUCUGAAACUGCAGGACUUGAGUGCUGGAGGGGAUAGCGGAAUUCCUAGUGGAGCGGUAAAAUGCGCAGAUAUUAGGAAGAACACUGGUGGCGAAGGCGGCUAUCUGGACAGUAACUGACGCUGAGGCGCGAAAGCGUGGGGAGCAAACAGGAUUAGAUACCCUGGUAGUCCACGCCGUAAACGACGAAUACUAGGUGUAGGGGGUAUCGACUCCCUCUGUGCCGCAGUUAACACAAUAAGUAUUCCGCCUGGGGAGUACGGCCGCAAGGUUGAAACUCAAAUGAAUUGACGGGG